Bombyx mori (domestic silkworm) is the source of this 727-nucleotide long non-coding RNA. RefSeq lists it as uncharacterized. Lineage: Eukaryota; Metazoa; Arthropoda; Insecta; Lepidoptera; Bombycidae. The record is from RefSeq and is a predicted model, not a curated record. The transcript has 2 exons.
ACAAGACAGCACUGUAUUUCUAUUUUUUACGGGUCCGUAGUAGGAUAGCUAGUUUUUUUUUGUGAUUGAAGGAUUGCUGGUGGCCCGGAGGCCUUUCCAGAUUCACCAGGACAGGCCUCUAGGUCAUCAGUAAUCCUUCAAUCAUAAAAAAAAAGUUGGGCUGUGACUUAAUUUACACAUCCAACUCAAUUUGUACAAGUUUUUAGAUUGAAUAAAUAUAAAAAAAGUGAUUGUGACGGGCAAAGUAGAAGGAAAGAGACCCCGCGGCCGAUUACCUAGCCGUUGGUGUGAUCAAGUAACCGCUCUAACUGGGUUGCCAGUCGCAACCGCCAUUCGAGCAGCUGAGGACCAGACGAGAUGGAAACAGCUCACGAGACAGGCAACGGUCAAGUUUCAGGGACACGACCUUCAGCAAUGAAGAAAGCGACGAAGAAGAAGAAGAAGUAUAAUUGUUUUAAACUGUCACUUCUAGUGCGUUACAAACACUAUUAUUUAACGAAUUUUUACCAAUUUCGUUAUUUCGACACUGUACCAAGCAUUGUGACCGCGAGUAGUCAUAAAAAUAAAUACAAACUAAUAAUAGUGUGUAUUUAAUUGCAAAUGAAGCCGUAUUUGUAUGAAUAAUUUUAAUAUCACAUUUAUAUAUCAACAAUAUCAAUUCACUUAUUACUCAACUGUUUAAUUAAUUAAAUUUACUCUCAAAAUUAAUUAGUAAGAAUAUUAAUUA